CCUACGGGUGGCAGCAGUGGGGGAUAUUGCACAAUGGGGGGAACCCUGAUGCAGCGACGCCGCGUGGGUGAAGAAGCGCCUCGGCGCGUAAAGCCCUGUCAGCAGGGAAGAAAAUGACGGUAGCUGAAGAGGAAGCCCCGGCUAACUACGUGCCAGCAGCCGCGGGAAUACGUAGGGGGCAAGCGUUAUCCGGAUUUACUGGGUGUAAAGGGGGCGCAGACGGCGAUGCAAGCCAGGAGUGAAAGCCCGGGGCCCAACCCCGGGACUGCUCGUGGAACUGCGUGGCUGGAGUGCAGGAGGGGCAGGCGGAAUGCCUGGUGUAGCGGUGAAAUGCGUAGAUAUCAGGAAGAACACCGGUGGCGAAGGCGGCCUGCUGGACUGCAACUGACGUUGAGGCCCGAAAGCGUGGGGAGCAAACAGGAUUAGAUACCCUUGUAGUC
RNAcentral lists this ribosomal RNA (440 nucleotides) under uncultured bacterium. RNAcentral's name for it is "partial 16S ribosomal RNA". It matches the Rfam family "Bacterial small subunit ribosomal RNA", at positions 338 to 795 of the family's 1533-position model. The record is from RNAcentral.